Zootoca vivipara (common lizard) is the source of this 366-nucleotide long non-coding RNA. RefSeq lists it as uncharacterized. Lineage: Eukaryota; Metazoa; Chordata; Lepidosauria; Squamata; Lacertidae. The record is from RefSeq and is a predicted model, not a curated record.
GUCAGGAAUCACUCCUCCUCAGUCCUGCCCCCAAGCCUUUUCGGCUACAAAGCUCACUGGGGGCUAAUUUGUUUCACUGGUCCCAGUCUCUCAGGAGCCGUUGUAAAAGUGCUGUGCCCAUUUUGGGUCUGGGGAGUCACUGUCUUGCCUCCUGCUACAAAAGCAAGCAAGCAGAGGCUCUUACCUGUAAGAAAGAAAGAGAUCUUUACUCAUGCAAUGAACUGUACAGGCUCAGCAGCAGACAGAGUGCUCAGGGGUCAUGAUUUAGGACUUCAGGAGCAGGGCAAGAAGUUUGGAACUGGACAGAAUCAAUGCAGAUGUCCCAACAAGUUUCCAUGCUGCAUCUGCCAAGCUUUUAAAGAUGAG